AACGUAGGCCACAAGCGUUGUCCGGAAUUACUGGGUGUAAAGGGAGCGCAGGCGGGAGAACAAGUUGGAAGUGAAAUCCAUGGGCUCAACCCAUGAACUGCUUUCAAAACUGUUUUUCUUGAGUAGUGCAGAGGUAGGCGGAAUUCCCGGUGUAGCGGUGGAAUGCGUAGAUAUCGGGAGGAACACCAGUGGCGAAGGCGGCCUACUGGGCACCAACUGACGCUGAGGCUCGAAAGUGUGGGUAGCAAACAGG
Molecule: ribosomal RNA, 253 nt
Filed under: Faecalibacterium prausnitzii
Lineage: Bacteria; Bacillati; Bacillota; Clostridia; Eubacteriales; Oscillospiraceae
Description: partial 16S ribosomal RNA
Rfam family: Bacterial small subunit ribosomal RNA
Source: RNAcentral